Molecule: ribosomal RNA, 301 nt
Filed under: uncultured bacterium
Lineage: Bacteria
Description: partial 16S ribosomal RNA
Rfam family: Bacterial small subunit ribosomal RNA
Source: RNAcentral
CAGUAGCCGCGGUAAUACGUAGGGUGCAAGCGUUAAUCGGAAUUACUGGGCGUAAAGCGUGCGCAGGCGGUUAUAUAAGUCAGAUGUGAAAUCCCCGGGCUCAACCUGGGAACUGCAUUUGAGACUGUAUGGCUAGAGUGUGUCAGAGGGGGGUAGAAUUCCACGUGUAGCAGUGAAAUGCGUAGAUAUGUGGAGGAAUACCGAUGGCGAAGGCAGCCCCCUGGGAUAACACUGACGCUCACGCACGAAAGCGUGGGGAGCAAACAGGAUUAGAUACCCAGUAGUCCCUGUCUCUUAUACA